AGUGUCACGCCGGAUGAACGGGUUACUUUGAUGAAGUAAAAAAUAAGAACUUUAUUCCUCUUUGACACUU
Molecule: transfer RNA, 70 nt
Filed under: Potamilus alatus
Lineage: Eukaryota; Metazoa; Mollusca; Bivalvia; Unionida; Unionidae
Description: tRNA-Ile
Source: RNAcentral